RNAcentral lists this long non-coding RNA (747 nucleotides) under Arabidopsis thaliana (thale cress). Its description in RNAcentral is "long non-coding RNA (ATHA_LNC000718)". Lineage: Eukaryota; Viridiplantae; Streptophyta; Magnoliopsida; Brassicales; Brassicaceae. The record is from RNAcentral.
UAACGGGAUACUGCGAAGAAAACUCCGAAAUGAUCCUCGUCUACGAGUUUAUGGAGAAAGGUACACUCAAAGAACAUCUAUACGGCUCGAAUCUACCUUCAUUAACAUGGAAACAAAGACUAGAGAUAUGCAUUGGAGCAGCUAGAGGUUUAGAUUAUCUCCACAGUAGUGGCUCAGAAGGAGCAAUCAUUCACAGAGACGUCAAAUCAACAAACAUAUUACUAGACGAGCACAAUAUAGCAAAAGUCGCAGAUUUCGGAUUAUCGAAAAUUCAUAAUCAAGAUGAAAGCAAUAUCAGCAUAAACAUCAAAGGAACAUUCGGUUACUUGGAUCCAGAAUAUCUCCAAACACAUAAAUUAACAGAGAAAUCAGAUGUUUACGCAUUCGGAGUCGUCCUCCUCGAGGUACUGUUCGCGAGACCAGCUAUAGAUCCUUAUCUUCCUCACGAAGAAGUGAAUCUAUCGGAAUGGGUGAUGUUCUGCAAAUCAAAAGGUACAAUCGAUGAGAUCUUAGAUCCGAGUUUGAUAGGUCAAAUUGAGACGAAUUCGUUGAAGAAAUUCAUGGAAAUUGCUGAGAAAUGUUUGAAAGAGUAUGGAGAUGAGAGACCGAGUAUGAGGGAUGUGAUUUGGGAUCUUGAGUAUGUUCUUCAGCUACAGAUGAUGACGAAUCGUCGAGAGGCUCAUGAAGAAGAUAGUACGGCGAUUAAUUCCGGUGGUUCGUUGGUUGCUCCGAGGUUGAUGGUGAGUG